AACGAACGCUGACGGCGGGCCUCAUACAUGCAAGUCGAGCGAGAAAGCCUUCGGGUGAGUAGAGCGGCGCACGGGUGAGUAACGCGUGGGUAAUCUACCUUUUGGAUGGGGAUAACCACUGGAAACGGUGGCUAAUACCGAGUAAGCCUUAUGAUGGUAAACUGAUUAAGGGAAAGAUGGUGCAAGCUAUCGCCAAAAGAUGAGCCUGCGUCCCAUUAGCUUGUUGGUAAGGUAAAAGCUUACCAAGGCUACGAUGGGUAGCUGGUCUGAGAGGAUGACCAGCCACACUGGAACUGAAACACGGUCCAG
RNAcentral lists this ribosomal RNA (309 nucleotides) under uncultured bacterium. RNAcentral's name for it is "bacterial SSU rRNA". It matches the Rfam family "Bacterial small subunit ribosomal RNA", at positions 29 to 334 of the family's 1533-position model. The record is from RNAcentral.